This 1647-nucleotide long non-coding RNA is filed under the name Mytilus galloprovincialis (Mediterranean mussel). The record is from RNAcentral. Lineage: Eukaryota; Metazoa; Mollusca; Bivalvia; Mytilida; Mytilidae.
CCCCUUGAGUUAAAAGGUUGCUCUGUACGAAUUUUCUGAGGAGAACACUGUAAUUAUACUAUAAAAUAAGAAAUCAUUAGCAUCAGUAAAAGAAACAUCAAAUUAAUUAGUUGGCCCUUUAUUUUCCUGAACAAGCAACUUUAACAAUGAUCAUCAUUUCAUUUUAGGUAAACAAAAUUACAAAUCAAUUCAGAAAUUUUGUCAAAUUCAUCAACUUGACAAUAACAUAAUUUAACCAUCAUAACUUUCAUCACAAGUACAUGUAUCUCCAUUAAAAGAUGUAGUCCUGAAUCAAUAUAUUAAUAUUUCGCUCUGAUGUUCAGGUUGAUAUUUGGCAAUGUGAUAAAUAAAGCUUUUCUUUAAUAAACAAAAGAUUUGCUAAAAUUUGAGUCAGGAGAGAGGGGGGGAGGUAUUCUUUAAUUUUACUGCCAUUUUUUCUAUCCUUUUUUUUUUUGCUGUUAUUCUAGAUUCCACAUUUUUAAACACCCCAUCAUGCUCUAUUAAUUUGGUUUGCCUAUGUUUUCUUAAUUCUUUAAUAUGUUUUGCCCUUUAUUCUCUUAUUCUGUUAAACCUGAGACUACUUUUUAUAGUAGUCUCAGGUUAAACCCAUCGAGAACCUCAUAUAUUGUUGUCAAUUAUUUGGCUGAUUUGAAAAAUUUAAUAAUUUUACAACUAAAUUUUAACCAUUAGACUCCAAACAAAAAAUUGAACACAAGCAAACACUGCAAUUUUUUUCUGCUUUUAAAUUACAUUUUUACAGUUAAAUCCAUUAAAGACAACUGCAGACAUGCAAGAGUUACUUCCCUUACGUAUUGCAGUUUUAAAAUUUGCAUUGCACUUCUAAAUUCACCAAAAAUUUAAUACACCACAUACAAAUUUACAUAUUAUUGCAUUUAACAUGAUUACAACAACAAAUCUUCAAUGUAUAUGUACGAAUUAAUCCUGUAAGUAAAUAUCUGUCGUCUGCUCCUCAGGGUUUAUACAAUAUUUUCAUUGUGGAUUUAUCAUGAUAUUUUACUAUUGAAUAUCUAGUUGGAAUAUUUCACGAAGACAUAGUUUUUUUUAUCACAUAUGGAAAAUCAAUCAUCAGAUCACCAUUAACUACAGUAGAUAUAUAGAGGAUUUAGACUUUCAAAAAUGGGGGGCUUGAAAAAAAAAGGGGGGGCAUUUAUUUUCUUGGGGAACAGCAAUCAACCAAAUGUUUUCAAAAUUAUGGAUCAAUGUCCUUAAUAUAAGUAAAAUGUAGCAAUCAUUUUAGUAUGCUAUAAGAAGUAAACAUACAAAAAAGGCUUUCAUUUAAAAUCAAAUGUCAUGUAAACAAUUUGCAAUAAUUGGCUAAAUACAUCGCCUGAACAGUCUGAUGGAAGAAUAGUUGACCCCGAUACAUUCCUUGUAUUGCUCAUAAAUGGCAAUGGGCACAUGAAUUCAAUAUAGGUCUUUAUUCUUUCUUCAUAUUAAAAACAAAUAAAAAAUCAAAACUUACGAAGAAUAUAAUCCUGUAACAAUAUCUAAACAAAAACAAACAAUUUAAUAUAACACAAUAAAAUAAUUAUUAAAUACAAUUCUGUAAACACAGAAAUAUUUCAAUCUGCUUUGGGGAAAACAGCAAUGCAAUGAACUUUGCUAAAAUAUGUACAUAUAUAGUUU